RNAcentral lists this ribosomal RNA (497 nucleotides) under uncultured bacterium. RNAcentral's name for it is "partial 16S ribosomal RNA". It matches the Rfam family "Bacterial small subunit ribosomal RNA", at positions 28 to 507 of the family's 1533-position model. The record is from RNAcentral.
GAUGAACGCUGGCGGCGUGCCUAAUACAUGCAAGUCGAGCGAACGGACGAGAAGCUUGCUUCUCUGAUGUUAGCGGCGGACGGGUGAGUAACACGUGGAUAACCUACCUAUAAGACUGGGAUAACUUCGGGAAACCGGAGCUAAUACCGGAUGAUAUUUUGAACCGCAUGGUUCAAAAGUGAAAGACGGUCUUGCUGUCACUUAUAGAUGGAUCCGCGCUGCAUUAGCUAGUUGGUAAGGUAACGGCUUACCAAGGCAACGAUGCAUAGCCGACCUGAGAGGGUGAUCGGCCACACUGGAACUGAGACACGGUCCAGACUCCUACGGGAGGCAGCAGUAGGGAAUCUUCCGCAAAGGGCGAAAGCCUGACGGAGCAACGCCGCGUGAGUGGUGAAGGUCUUCGGAUCGUAAAACUCUGUUAUUAGGGAAGAACAUAUGUGUAAGUAACUGUGCACAUCUUGACGGUACCUAAUCAGAAAGCCACGGCUAACUACGUG